GAACCAAUUCUAGCCCAAAUAUACUACUAGUAAAACUAUUUUCAUACAUUAAAACAAAACAUUCAUACCACUAAAGUAUAGGCGAUAGAAAUUUUAUUAGGCGCUAUAGAGAAAGUACCGCAAGGGAAAGAUGAAAGAAUUAUUAAAAGUGUAAAACAGCAUAGAUUAAUACUACUACCUUUUGCAUCAUGAGCUAACUAGAACUCCCUUUGCAAAAAGAAUUUAAGCAAAGACCCCCGAAACCAAACGAGCUACUUUCAGACAGCUAAAUUGAGCCAACCCGUCUAUGUGGCAAAAUAGUGGGAAGAUCUGAAAGUAGAGGUGAAAAGCCAACCGAGCUUGGUGAUAGCUGGUUGUCCAAACAAGAAUUUUAGUUCAACUGUAAGUCCACCCUAAAAAACAUCAACUUUCAAUGGUUACUUACAAGUUAAUCUAAAGAGGGACAGCUCUUUAGAGCAAAGGAUACAACCUUGUGUAGAGAGUAAAUUUAUUAAAAUAUCAUAGUUGGCCUAAAAGCAGCCAUCAAUUAAGAAAGCGUUCAAGCUCGACAAAAAUCUCGCAUAGCUAAUCCCGCAAAUAAAAAAUCAACUCCUACUCCUCCAUUGGACUAUUCUAUAAAAAUAUAGAAGCAAUAAUGUUAGUAUUAGUAACAAGAAAGAAUUCUCCGUGCACAAGCUUAUAUCAGACCGAAUACUCGCUGAUAGUUAACAACUUGAUAAAGAAAAUUAACAAAUUAAUACCUUUAUCACUACCAUUGUUAACCCAACACAGGAGUGCAAUAAGGAAAGACUAAAAGAAACAGAAGGAACUCGGCAACUAUAAAUCCCGCCUGUUUACCAAAAACAUCACCUCUAGCAUUACAAGUAUUAGAGGCACUGCCUGCCCAGUGACAAAUCAGUUCAACGGCCGCGGUAUUCUGACCGUGCAAAGGUAGCAUAAUCACUUGUUCCUUAAAUAGGGACUAGUAUGAACGGCUAGACGAGGGUUUAACUGUCUCCUGUCUCCAGUCAGUGAAAUUGACCUUCCCGUGAAGAGGCGGGAAUAAAAAAAUAAGACGAGAAGACCCUAUGGAGCUUUAAUUAAUUUACAUACACUAAAACACUUAAUCUUCCUAAGGGUUAUAAAGUACUAGUACUAAGUAAAUAAUUUUGGUUGGGGUGACCUCGGAGAAUAAAAAAACCUCCGAAUGAUUUUAACCUAGACACUACAAGUCAAAGUCAAAAAUCAUCAAUUGACCCAGUACAAACUGAUCAACGAACCAAGUUACCCUAGGGAUAACAGCGCAAUCCUAUUCUAGAGUUCUUAUCGACAAUAGGGUUUACGACCUCGAUGUUGGAUCAGGACUUCCCAAUGGUGCAGCCGCUAUUAAAGGUUCGUUUGUUCAACGAUUAAAGUCCUACGUGAUCUGAGUUCAGACCGGAGUAAUCCAGGUCGGUUUCUAUCUAUUUUUAAUCUUCUCCCAGUACGAAAGGACAAGAGAAGCAAGGCCAACUGCCCCUCAGCGCCUUAACAGUUAAAAGAUGAUUUAGUAUUAAUCUUAUAACUGCUUCAAAACCCUACCCGAGAAAAGGGUUU
Molecule: ribosomal RNA, 1575 nt
Filed under: Hystrix indica
Lineage: Eukaryota; Metazoa; Chordata; Mammalia; Rodentia; Hystricidae
Description: 16S ribosomal RNA
Rfam family: Bacterial large subunit ribosomal RNA
Source: RNAcentral